Molecule: long non-coding RNA, 2213 nt
Filed under: Gossypium barbadense (sea-island cotton)
Lineage: Eukaryota; Viridiplantae; Streptophyta; Magnoliopsida; Malvales; Malvaceae
Description: long non-coding RNA (GBAR_LNC013632)
Source: RNAcentral
AGGUCAGUUUUGCAUUGGUUAAGAAUGCAUCAUUUCAGUAUUAAAAUCUUAAGUAUCAUUCCAGUAGUAAAAUCUAACAUUUUGUACCAGUCAAAACAUUAAGAAUUGAAUUAAAUUGGUAUAAGUAUGUAUUAGUCUUGAGAGAAGCAUGCAUUUAUCGCAUCUAACUACUUUGUUUGAAACUCAGAGCUAUGAGUAUAGGCCUUGAGUAGUUCUUUUCGGCCCAAAUUUACAACCUGAUUACAACCCCGUUUUACUUGAGAUAAACUUGACUAGUCUUGAACAAACCUUUGUAAUAUUAGUAACAAUACUCUCAAAUCUCCCAUAAGUAGUUCAUUAUUCUCAACUCUCAACCUCGGCCAUUAAUGCCAACUCCCUGGCCAUCAUUGCUAUAAGUCCAAUUUUAUCACUUCCAAUUCUAUCCUCUCACCUAAAUUUUAUAACAAAAUAUUUAAACAUAUUUAAUUUUAUAGCAAUAAACAACAAACCAUAAUAUUCAUACAUUAAUCCAUCAACAUAUUUAAUUUUAUAACAAAAUAUAAAUUGUAAGCUAAAUUAAAUUUCAAACAUUUAGAAACAAUUUAGCUGAUCCAACUACUUUUAUUUCUUUUUUCCUGAUCCAACUACCAGACUAUCUAUUAUGUAAGCUAGCUAUAUGCCUUACCCUUUGGAGGUGGGAUUCAGACCUGCAUACUUAUUUAAUAACCAAACAAUUUUACCAGCCAAAUUAAGAUCUUAUGACUUCCAUAACCAGCUUGAAAAGUUUACUAGGACAUUAAACCGUAAUUAGGUUUUUACUAGCUGCCUAAUGGUUUCAUAAUUUCAAUUUUUAUACUACUUUGAAAUAUAAAUCAAAAUAUUCUAAUGUCCAAGUACAGUAAUUAGCAAAGUACUGAUUCAGCAGCAGUCAAACUAUUCAUGGUUAAAAGAAAUUUAUAAAUUUAGGCAAUUCAUUACCUAUAGAUGUUCUGGCCUCUCGAGGGAUCCAUAUUCUGAAUUAAUAACUAUAAACAACUAUUAUAUAUAUAGAUAGCUAUGAAAGUUGUAACCUGGUACUAAUGCAAUUUCAAAAGCCCUUAGCAUCCAAUUAUAGCAGGCCAAUGAUACAUUGAACCACAUCAUAAGUGAAAGAUCUGAAAAUUUUGGUCUUCUAUGAAUGGGUCUACCAACAGUUAAUAGGAGUUUAAUAACCAGUUCCUAUAUGCCUGAUUGCCUAAGAAGUUCAUCUUUCAACCAUUGGUGUGACUUCAGCAUGUCAAGGCUGUGCAUAAAGAACUCAAGCCUUUUGCAUGUAGCUUAUCUGGUUGUGGGAUGAGAUUUUCAUACAAGCAUGUCAGAGAUAACCAUGAGAAAUCAGCGCUCCACGUUUAUGUUCCAGUAAGUUAUUUAGUUGUCAAUGAUUAAAUGCUAUUAUAAGCUUGUUUAUUUCGUCAUAGGUAUUUUUCGUGAUAGACAAAGAGUAAUGAUUGUAACGACUGUUUCCUAUUUAGGGGGACUUCAUAGAGUCGGAUGAGCAGUUUCAGUUAAGGCCAAGGGGUGGGCGUAAAAGAACAUGUCCCACUGUGGAAAUGCUUAUUCGAAAAAGAGUUGCUCCACCACAAAUGGAUACGAUGAUGGACCCAGGGCCUAUUCAGGGUUGCUCUUAACGGAUGAGGGCCAACACUGAGACUAAAUGGGUAAAUACAGUUCAGUUAACUUGUAUUUUUUAGGUUAAUAUAAUUUAUAGCAUAAAAUAUCAUAGGUUCUGCUUCUCUUUUCUUCUGUAAUAAACUAAAGUUAGUAAUGGAUGGGCAGAUGUAGUGUGACUACCAAGGUAGUAGUCAAAUAGCAGAAAUUAAACUCCCCUCCCCCUUGAAGAUUCAGUUUCUCAAAAUCAAAAUCAGAAAACCAUUAAUAACAAAAAUUAAAAUCACAAUCAAAAUCAAAAAGCAAAAAGUAAAAAACUACUUCGAAUUGGGUUAACAGGAAAUAGGGUUAACAGCAAACUCACCUUUGAAAUGAGAGGUUCAGAAGACGUAGAAGGCUAGAAGCACCGUUAAAGCGGAGGUGGAGUCGUAGAGGUGGAUUUCCGAAUUGGAUGGAGCUGUGGAGGACUGGAGGUGGAAUGGUGGAUCGGUGGAGGUGGAUUUUUGAUUUGGGGAAAAAAAUAGAGGAGUGAAGGGCUUAGGGAUUUAUCAGAUGCACGGGGAAAGGGGAAAUGGGAAAUGGGAAAU